RNAcentral lists this ribosomal RNA (504 nucleotides) under uncultured bacterium. RNAcentral describes it as "partial 16S ribosomal RNA". It matches the Rfam family "Bacterial small subunit ribosomal RNA", at positions 30 to 523 of the family's 1533-position model. The record is from RNAcentral.
AUUGAACGCUGGCGGCAUGCCUAACACAUGCAAGUCGAACGGUAGCACAGAGAGCUUGCUCUUGGGUGACGAGUGGCGGACGGGUGAGUAAUGUCUGGGAAACUGCCCGAUGGAGGGGGACAACUACUGGAAACGGUAGCUAAUACCGCAUAACGUCUUCGGACCAAAGUGGGGGACCUUCGGGCCUCACACCAUCGGAUGUGCCCAGAUGGGAUUAGCUAGUAGGUGGGGUAAUGGCUCACCUAGGCGACGAUCCCUAGCUGGUCUGAGAGGAUGACCAGCCACACUGGAACUGAGACACGGUCCAGACUCCUACGGGAGGCAGCAGUGGGGAAUAUUGCACAAUGGGCGCAAGCCUGAUGCAGCCAUGCCGCGUGUAUGAAGAAGGCCUUCGGGUUGUAAAGUACCUUCAGCGGGGAGGAAGGCGAUGAGGUUAAUAACCGCAUCGAUUGACGUUACCCGCAGAAGAAGCACCGGCUAACUCCGUGCCAGCCGCCGCCGUAA